ACCAGCAUGGCACAGUGGUAAGGAGCAGGGCUUGUAACCAGAAGGUUGCUGGUUCGAUUCCCCGCUGGGA
Molecule: non-coding RNA, 70 nt
Organism: Megalops atlanticus (tarpon)
Lineage: Eukaryota; Metazoa; Chordata; Actinopteri; Elopiformes; Megalopidae
Source: the annotation of a GenBank genome assembly